ACGGGAGGCAGCAGUGAGGAAUAUUGGACAAUGGGCGGAAGCCUGAUCCAGCCAUGCCGCGUGCAGGACUAAGGCCCUAUGGGUCGUAAACUGCUUUUGUUGUGGAGCAAUAAGGUCUACGUGUAGACUGAUGAGAGUACACAGCGAAUAAGCAUCGGCUAACUCCGUGCCAGCAGCCGCGGUAAUACGGAGGAUGCAAGCGUUAUCCGGAUUUAUUGGGUUUAAAGGGUGCGCAGGCGGCCCGUUAAGUCAGCGGUGAAAUGUCGGGGCUCAACCCGGGCACUGCCGUUGAAACUGGGGGGCUUGAGUACGGAUGAGGUCGGCGGAAUGUGACGUGUAGCGGUGAAAUGCAUAGAUAUGUCACAGAACACCGAUUGCGAAGGCAGCCGGCCAAUCCGCAACUGACGCUCAUGCACGAAAGCGUGGGGAUCGAACAGGAUUAGAUACCCUGGUA
This 454-nucleotide ribosomal RNA is filed under the name uncultured Sphingobacteriaceae bacterium. RNAcentral's name for it is "partial 16S ribosomal RNA". It matches the Rfam family "Bacterial small subunit ribosomal RNA", at positions 341 to 792 of the family's 1533-position model. Lineage: Bacteria; Pseudomonadati; Bacteroidota; Sphingobacteriia; Sphingobacteriales; Sphingobacteriaceae. The record is from RNAcentral.